RNAcentral lists this long non-coding RNA (200 nucleotides) under Lepidothrix coronata (blue-crowned manakin). Its description in RNAcentral is "lncRNA (ENSLCOG00000016324.1)". Lineage: Eukaryota; Metazoa; Chordata; Aves; Passeriformes; Pipridae. The record is from RNAcentral.
CCCCGCCCCCGCGGAGGUGUCAGCGGCGAUCUCGCGAGAGGUGACGGAAGCCCGCGGGGGACCCGGCCUUUAAUGUGCGGUGCGGCCGCGUUCCGGGAAACAGAAAAAUAGCUGUUCCAGUCCCUCCAGUUCAUUGCCAUGAAAAGGAGGAUAUGAUAGUUUGCCCUAUGAAACAGGUUUAUGUGUGAAAUCUGGCAGGU